UUGUGCAAGGUACGUUGGGUU
This 21-nucleotide microRNA is filed under the name Gallus gallus (chicken). RNAcentral describes it as "gga-miR-1639". Lineage: Eukaryota; Metazoa; Chordata; Aves; Galliformes; Phasianidae. The record is from miRBase by way of RNAcentral.